Molecule: small RNA, 215 nt
Organism: Escherichia coli CFT073
Lineage: Bacteria; Pseudomonadati; Pseudomonadota; Gammaproteobacteria; Enterobacterales; Enterobacteriaceae
Rfam family: STnc560 Hfq binding RNA
Source: Rfam
CAUUCAUUGAGAAAACUGAUGCUACUGUGUCAACGAUCCGUUAUCAGUGCAGGAAAAUGCCUGUUAGCGUAAAAGCAAAACACAAAUCUAUCCAUGCAAGCAUUCACCGCCGGUUUACUGGCGGUUUUUUUUUCGCCGUCAUAAAAAUCAGGCCCCUUGUACACAACUGUAACAAGGGGCCGGUUAGGUGAGGGAUUAUCUCCGUUCAUUAGUCA